RNAcentral lists this ribosomal RNA (487 nucleotides) under uncultured bacterium. RNAcentral describes it as "bacterial SSU rRNA". It matches the Rfam family "Bacterial small subunit ribosomal RNA", at positions 15 to 518 of the family's 1533-position model. The record is from RNAcentral.
GAUUAUGGCUCAGGACGAACGCUGGCGGCGUGCUUAACACAUGCAAGUCGAGCGAUGAAGCUUCUUCGGAAGUGGAUUAGCGGCGGACGGGUGAGUAACACGUGGGUAACCUGCCUCAUAGAGGGGAAUAGCCUUCCGAAAGGAAGAUUAAUACCGCAUAAGAUUGUAAUAUCGCAUGAUAUAGCAAUUAAAGGAGUAAUCCGCUAUGAGAUGGACCCGCGUCGCAUUAGCUAGUUGGUGAGGUAACGGCUCACCAAGGCGACGAUGCGUAGCCGACCUGAGAGGGUGAUCGGCCACAUUGGGACUGAGACACGGCCCAGACUCCUACGGGAGGCAGCAGUGGGGAAUAUUGCACAAUGGGGGAAACCCUGAUGCAGCCAACGCCGCGUGAGUGAUGACGGUCUUCGGAUUGUAAAGCUCUGUCUUCAGGGACGAUAAUGACGGUACCUGAGGAGGAAGCCACGGCUAACUACGUGCCAGCAGCGGC